CCGAGGGAGGAAGUCCAGUCCCUGCCGCCAGGGUCCCGCUCGGCGCCCCGCGGCGCUCCCCGCCCCUCCUCCGCCCCUCCUGGGGGCCGCUCGGACGGCGCAGUCGUCUCCCCGCCCCCGGGAAAGAGGCGUCGCGUUCUCUCUCACAGCUGCGGGUCGCCCCACCUGGGGCACUUGUCUUUGGGGGAUGGAAUGCUCGCUAGAAAACCUAGGGAUCCAACGGAGCUGCUGAAGAGGCAGCGAUGUCGUAGGCCCCUGAGACGAGGAUGAGACCAUCGCAGUCCUGGGCGCCCCUCGUGGGCACAGAUGUCGGUGUUAGGGCCCCCGCGGGUCGCCUCCGCAGGAGUGACCCGUCACGUUUGUUGUGAACGAAUGAAAAGCUGGGAAGUAUGGAGUAGGUCCUAGUAAAGAAAAGCUAUAGGGAAUGUGGAGGUAGGCUUUAAUGAGUGUUUCCUCAAAGCUCUGGUAGAAAUAGACGCCUGGUGGCUGGCGUUGAACAGGCUGGGGGCCUCCAAGGAGCCCUCAGGGAGGCAGUUACAUCCAACACCCUAACAAAGGAGAGGAAAAGAAAAACCCCCUCAAAAUGUCCCUCGGGUUUGACAAAGGGAUCCCGGACAAAAUGUGACUGUUAAUUACGACAGAACUGAAAAGCAGAAGUAAAGUAAAUCCCCCCAGGACGCCUGGGAACUGGGUGAACCCUCUUCCCUGGAAGCCAAGGAACCAACUGUUUGCAGAGGAUCAGAAGGGAUCAGCUCAGAAGCCCGGACCUGGCCUGGCACAUAGAAGCCACCGAAGGGGUCCUGUGCCAAGGACAAACAGGAACGCCCACCCAGUGGGCGGGCCGUCCGUGGUCCAGAACUGGCAGGCCACUGACAAAUAUCCUCUGAGUAAAACUAAGGAAGGACGUCAGCUAUCAUCAGGGGGACUUGUGUGCCCCAGAGCCUACAGGGUGCUCAGGGACUGCAAGAAGAUCUUCCUUCCAGAAACAUUCAGUGGCACCUCCCUUUCUCCGACACUCUGCCGCGCCAUGGAAUUGCAGAGAAGAAUGGGAGGGGAGCCUUGCCCUGAAGAACUCACAGAUCUGGAGGCUGGAAGUCCAAGAUCAAGGUGCCAGCGGGAUGGUUUCUGACGUGUAUGAACAAGCUCAAACCAGCCUCUCCAGAGUGAACAAAAGGAAAGGAAAGGGGAACAAAGAAGUGAGAAGAACAACUGUUUCUGUUUGCUUAACAGCCGGUAAGGGAGGCCUUUGUUCCCUAGCGUUGUGCACAUGAACUGCACCGUCUAUGACAUCAUAUUCCAAGCUUCUUCCUUGAAAAAAAGUCAUGGAAUAAAAUUGCCUAAACAGAAACUUUUGAGAAACAUGCUUGCAGAAGUCAAGGACUUUCUGGGAUUUGCAUUAAUGCUGUAUUGUCCUGCUGAUUUUUUCUUUUCUUUUCUUUUCUUUUUUGAGGAAGAUUAGCCCUGAGCUAAC
This is a non-coding RNA of Equus caballus (horse), 1471 nucleotides long. Lineage: Eukaryota; Metazoa; Chordata; Mammalia; Perissodactyla; Equidae. The record is from RefSeq and is a predicted model, not a curated record.